CGUCCCUCCCUGUUGAGGCGCACGCUCCGCGCUGUGCACAGGCUGUUCCGCUGGCCCCGCAGGCCGGCACAGCCCCACCAUUAGGCCCCGCUCCAGCGCCAGGCCCGGCCCAGACAGCGCAGGGCGGGCAGCGCUUUGCCGGGACCAACAUCUCCCGCAGACCAGCACGGCACGGAACAGCACAGGCGCCACAACCAGGACAAGAAGUGACCACAGACCGGAGGGGGACCGAGACCCCCAGAGACCCCCAGACCUCAGACCCGUUUCCAGAAAGGUCUGAAAGAACAGGCUGUGCGUGACAACUCAUUGGCACAGAAGACAGAAAGCCACCUUCUGUGGGGAACCCUGUCCCUGCAAAGGUACCCCCAGCAAGCCCAGCAGCCUGGACAUCCCUCCAGCUGCAUCCACGCUGGACACCGGACUGACCCCUUGCACAGGAUGGAGGCGUCACCCAUUCUCACAGGAAGCUUUGCCCCAGGUUCCUGCAGACCAAGGGCACCACUCAGUCACCCCUGGCCCUUCAGUGCAGUUGCAGAACUCACGGGGAAGGCCAGAGCUGCCACCAAGGAGGGAAGCAGAGCCCUGUGGCUGUGGGAAGGACUGACCCUUUGCAGGCUGACAACAUGGAAGGACCCUCCCCAGCUGGGCAAGCUUUGUGCAGCCGUGGUUUCUGUUGCACUCGGGGCAGCUCUUUCCCCUCCUGUCCAUAGGAAGGGGAGUCUAAAGCACUUUGGAGCUCCCUCGGGGAGAGCCAGCCCAUGGCUGGGAGAAAGUAAAUAUUGCACCAGCUGCUUUGGGGGCAGCAAAGGAAACCAGAGCCCUGUCUUGGUUGCAUUUUCCAUUCUCACGCCUCAGCCACUCACCUCCACCUACAGUGUUUGCCUCUGUGGGGCUGUAAGAACAAUCAACCUA
Long non-coding RNA from Chiroxiphia lanceolata (lance-tailed manakin), 912 nucleotides. RefSeq lists it as uncharacterized. The transcript is spliced from 4 exons. The record is from RefSeq and is a predicted model, not a curated record. Lineage: Eukaryota; Metazoa; Chordata; Aves; Passeriformes; Pipridae.